RNAcentral lists this unclassified non-coding RNA (329 nucleotides) under soil metagenome. Its description in RNAcentral is "partial contains 5.8S ribosomal RNA, internal transcribed spacer 2, and large subunit ribosomal RNA". The stretch from base 1 to 120 matches the Rfam family "5.8S ribosomal RNA", at positions 35 to 154 of the family's 154-position model. The record is from RNAcentral.
GAUGAAGAACGUAGCGAAAUGCGAUAAGUAGUGUGAAUUGCAGAAUUCAGUGAAUCAUCGAAUCUUUGAACGCACAUUGCGCCCUUUGGUAUUCCGGGGGGCAUGCCUGUUCGAGCGUCAUUAUAACCACUCAAGCUCUCGCUUGGUAUUGGGGUUCGCGGUUUCGCGGCCCCUAAAAUCAGUGGCGGUGCCUGUCGGCUCUACGCGUAGUAAUACUUCUCGCGAUUGAGUCCGAUAGGUCUACUUGCCAGUAACCCCCAAUUUUUACAGGUUGACCUCGGAUCAGGUAGGGAUACCCGCUGAACUUAAGCAUAUCAAUAAGCGGAGGA